GACGAACGCUGGCGGCGUGCCUAAUACAUGCAAGUAGAACGCACAGGAUGCACCGUAGUUUACUACACCGUAUUCUGUGAGUUGCGAACGGGUGAGUAACGCGUAGGUAACCUGCCUGGUAGCGGGGGAUAACUAUUGGAAACGAUAGCUAAUACCGCAUAAGAACAUUUACUGCAUGGUAGAUGUUUAAAAGGUGCAAAUGCAUCACUACCAGAUGGACCUGCGUUGUAUUAGCUAGUAGGUAAGGUAACGGCUCACCUAGGCGACGAUACAUAGCCGACCUGAGGGGGUGAUCGGCCACACUGGGACUGAGACACGGCCCAGACUCCUACGGGAGGCAGCAGUAGGGAAUCUUCGGCAA
This 361-nucleotide ribosomal RNA is filed under the name Streptococcus intermedius. RNAcentral describes it as "bacterial SSU rRNA". It matches the Rfam family "Bacterial small subunit ribosomal RNA", at positions 28 to 371 of the family's 1533-position model. The record is from RNAcentral. Lineage: Bacteria; Bacillati; Bacillota; Bacilli; Lactobacillales; Streptococcaceae.